This 1026-nucleotide long non-coding RNA is filed under the name Helianthus annuus (common sunflower). Its description in RNAcentral is "hypothetical non coding rna". The record is from RNAcentral. Lineage: Eukaryota; Viridiplantae; Streptophyta; Magnoliopsida; Asterales; Asteraceae.
AUGUUAUCAGAUGUGCUCCAGCUUAAAGUAGUGGCUUAGCUCUGAUACCACCUUCUGUCACGACCCCCGACCCCACCCUGGACGGAAUCGGGAGCCGCGGCCAGCCCAGUGGUACCGGUGGUUAUUUUUGAAAAACGUUGCAGCGGAAUUUUCAUCAGGACCGUGAGUUAGGAAAAAUAUCAGAGUUUAUAAAACACCGGAUUUGAUUUAAAUGGGAUAAACCCCUGUUUUACAAUGGUAGCUUUAAUAAAGAUAAAUUUUAUUUUAUAAAACAAUAUUUCUUAAUUUGAUUAAAAUAAACCACUUCUUGAUGCCUUUCAGUGUCGUAUCUAGCCUUUAUUCCAAUCUAUGGUAAUUACCUGAAACAUGUUUGAAAAAGGUUUUGUCAGUGGAAAAUACUGAGUGAGAUCAUUCCAUUUUUAUAAAAUAUAUUGUUAUACCUUACAGUAUUAAGGUUUUUAUAUUUAUUUGUAUUUACCCCACUCAAUCAGUAUUUUGUCACAUGAUGGCAGUUCCAAUAUAUCAGCAAUAAUAUCACUCAUUGGCUUACUUUCGUCCAAUAGUGAAUUUAUCAAAUAACUAUACUUUACUAUUAUUCAAUUUAUCUGUCAUUAGGCGAUUCCUGUGACGGGGUCAUAUCACUGUUGAUCAUUCUUUCAACUAGUGACUCUGGUUAUAUCACUGUUGAUCAUUCUUUCAACUAGUGAUUCUAAUUAUAACACUGUUGAUCAUUCUCUCAACUAGUUGUCUUUGGUCAUAUCACUGUUGAUCAUUCUUUCAACUAGUGACGCUGGACAUGAUGAUGUCCUAUGACAUUACUUUGUCAAAUAUAUUAUUUAUGGCACAAAAUCAGGUAAUCUAGAAUAAUGACAUUUUAUGUCAACUAUUAUAACUUAUCCAAUAUGUCAAUUUACUAAUUGUAAUAUCAUGAUAUAGUAACCUGACUACAAAUAGAAUACAUUAUACUUGACUUUAUUAUGGUAUCCACCAUUUAGAUUUAUUCUUAAACAUACAUUAAAUUUAUUA